Rhinolophus ferrumequinum (greater horseshoe bat) is the source of this 593-nucleotide long non-coding RNA. RefSeq lists it as uncharacterized. Lineage: Eukaryota; Metazoa; Chordata; Mammalia; Chiroptera; Rhinolophidae. The record is from RefSeq and is a predicted model, not a curated record. The transcript has 3 exons.
AGCGCCGGGCCGUCCAGGCAGGUGAAGUUCCGCAGCAGCGCCCACUUGUCGCGCUGGAAUCUCGCGCUGGAAUCCUGCGCCGCAGGGCUCUCCAGCAUCCAGAACACGCCGGUGCCCAGUGCCAAGUAAGCCAGGGUGGUGAGGUCCUGCAUCUAUAGGCCGGAGAUAACAGAAGCAGUGGACAAGCACUUUUAUUCAGGCUGCUGUUUGGAGAACAAGGCUCGCUCCCCAGCGGCAGGGAGGGUGGAGGCCGAGAGACCAACCCCUGAGGACAGAGUGGCUUUUCAAGACAACGUGUCCCCGUGGAGGGAGCGCAGAAAACCCGAGCUAUCCUGGCUCUGCCAUUUGUUCUCUGGGCAAAUGAUCCCAUCUCUGUGUGCCUCAGUUUCCUCACUUGUCAAAAGCGGGAUCAUACUCUUGGCUCUGUGUACAUUAUAGGAGUGUUGAGAGCAUCCAACGGAAUAAUAUAAAUGAAAAGAAAGUAUGACUAGUAACAUGUCUUACAAAUUUUAAUAAAAGUGCUGCAUCCUUCAGCCCAGCUUUUUGCACCAUCUGGGCAUGGCAUUAGCCGGAAGACACCAUCUAGACACAGA